GAGAGUAUAGCUCAGUGGUAGAGCACAUGCUUAGCAUGCAUGAGGUCAUGGGUUCGAUCCCCUAGUAUCUCU
RNAcentral lists this transfer RNA (72 nucleotides) under Camelus bactrianus (Bactrian camel). It matches the Rfam family "tRNA". From Rfam's summary of the family: Transfer RNA (tRNA) molecules are approximately 80 nucleotides in length. Lineage: Eukaryota; Metazoa; Chordata; Mammalia; Artiodactyla; Camelidae. RNAcentral also lists the same sequence under 3 other names. The record is from Rfam by way of RNAcentral.